Molecule: long non-coding RNA, 1529 nt
Filed under: Marmota monax (woodchuck)
Lineage: Eukaryota; Metazoa; Chordata; Mammalia; Rodentia; Sciuridae
Source: RNAcentral
CUGCAGAUUGGUGCAACCACCAUGGAAAGCAGUAUGGAGAUUCCUUAGAAAACUGGGAAUGGAACCACCAUUUGACCCAGCUAUCUCUCUCCUCAGUCUAUACCCAAAGGACUCAAAAAGAGCCCACUACGGGGACACAGCCACCUCCAUGUUUACAUGUUUAUAGCUGCUCAACUCACAAUAUCCAAGCUGUGGAAACAACUAGGUGUCCUUCAAUGGAUAAAUGGAUAAAGAUAACAUACCAGUGGGAUAUUACUCAGCAUUAAAAGAGAACAAAAUAUGACAUUUGCAGGUAAAUGGAUGGAGUUGGAGAAUAUCAUGCUAAGUGAAAUAAGCCAAUCCCAAAAAACCAAAGGCCAAAUGUUCUCUCUGAUUUAUGAUGCUAACCCACAACAAGGGAGGGUGGGGAGGGGAGAUUAGAAGUCUAUUGGAUUAGACAAAGGGGAACAAAGGGAAGCGAGGGGGGAAUUAGAUGGACAGUAGAAUUAACUGGACGUAACUUUCCUACCCUUGUAUCUGUAUACAUGACCAGGUAACUCCACAUCAUGUACGACCACAAGGGUGGGAAGCUAAACAGACUAAGUUAUACUCUGUGUAUGUGUAUUCUACCAAAUACACUCUACCAUCACGUGUAACUAAAAAUAAAGAUUAAAGAAAAGACAGACUGAAAUCAGCAAAGGAAAAAGGAGCAAAGUGAAGUUCAGAAAAAACUAGGUACAAGCUUCCAGCGGCUCUCUCCUGGUGGAGUCUCAAGGGAUUGCCUCAUUCUUCCAGGAAAUGAUGUAUGACAACACGUGUGACGGCGUCUACACACAGAAGUUCCCUGAGCCCUGGCCCGCAGAGUUUUACGGGGGACGGUGAAAGCAGUCAUACAGUGCUUAUGACUGACAGCUAUGCUGUCUCCAUACCUCACCCCAAACCCACCUUGUCAGGGACUAGAAGGAAAUUCUCCUUCAAAGAUUAGCCUGACAGCCCCCUGGGAGACAUCCUGCCUGGGAGGCACCCUGCAGCCACCUAUCUCCCUGGAACAUCCUGCGGUUAUCCGGAUCAUCAGACAUCUUGCACCUGGCAGUUUUACCACCCACAUCCAGCAAUUGUUGAUUAGAGAGCUUCCCCAUCCCCAGCAUAUAAAUACCCCUGUGUGAAAAAUAAAAGUUGGCAGCUUGAUCAGAAUUUUUGUCUUGCUGUCACCUUUCGUGUCUCUUGUCCCUUCAUUCCUCCCCAUCUAGGUUCGCUGCCCACGUUGAUGUGUCCUGCCGGACGGGACACCACCUGAGCAAAACCAGGCGUUCAUCAUAGAUCCCAUUAUUAGGACAAACUUACCUUAUCAAACCUGAACAGUGGGGUGCAAAGCUUCAGGCAUACAGGACCCUGUUAGCAGACCAACUGUUCCAAGGGACGACCCUGAAGACCUUCCUUUGGAAUGUGAACAGCCCAGCGGAGCCAUCCCUGUCGGCACAGUCACUGUGAUCUCACUGUGCUUACUUAACACCUGUCAAUGUUUAGCAAACUUUUACACCUUAUUUAUC